AGCUCUGGAGAAGGCGGCUUAAGAACCUGGUAAUGGGUGUUCAUGCUCUUGAGUUGUGCCUCCAUUCGUACCUUGUUACAACAUUGACACAUUACCCAUUUGAUG
Small nucleolar RNA from Myotis daubentonii (Daubenton's bat), 105 nucleotides. RefSeq annotates it as small nucleolar RNA U13. NCBI's taxonomy places the organism in Eukaryota, Metazoa, Chordata, Mammalia, Chiroptera, Vespertilionidae. The record is from RefSeq and is a predicted model, not a curated record.